RNAcentral lists this ribosomal RNA (425 nucleotides) under uncultured bacterium. RNAcentral's name for it is "partial 16S ribosomal RNA". It matches the Rfam family "Bacterial small subunit ribosomal RNA", at positions 354 to 796 of the family's 1533-position model. The record is from RNAcentral.
GUGGGGAAUAUUGGACAAUGGGGGAAACCCUGAUCCAGCCAUGCCGCGUGAAUGAUGAAGGCCUUCGGGUUGUAAAGUUCUUUUGGAGGGGACGAUGAUGACGGUACCCUCAGAAUAAGCUCCGGCUAACUUCGUGCCAGCAGCCGCGGUAAUACGAAGGGAGCUAGCGUUGUUCGGAAUUACUGGGCGUAAAGGGCGCGUAGGCGGUUUGGUCAGUCAGAUGUGAAAGCCCAGGGCUUAACCCUGGAACUGCGUUUGAUACUGCCAAGCUUGAAUUCGGGAGAGGUGAGUGGAAUUCCCAGUGUAGAGGUGAAAUUCGUAGAUAUUGGGAAGAACACCAGUGGCGAAGGCGGCUCACUGGACCGACAUUGACGCUGAGGCGCGAAAGCGUGGGGAGCAAACAGGAUUAGAAACCCGUGUAGUCC